This 930-nucleotide long non-coding RNA is filed under the name Citrus sinensis (sweet orange). Its description in RNAcentral is "long non-coding RNA (CSIN_LNC005682)". The record is from RNAcentral. Lineage: Eukaryota; Viridiplantae; Streptophyta; Magnoliopsida; Sapindales; Rutaceae.
AGAUCUAAAUGUGAUCUCUCUUACUUGACCAUCAUAUUCACCUGCAGCAUGCCACUGUCCCAUCUGGAUAGAGCAUGAGAUAGUAAGCAAAUAUUUCAAUAUCAACCAACCAACCAACAUUUGGAAUCCAGAAAUAAAAUCUUCUUCUUAGAUAGAAAAGCACACGGAACUGGAAAGAUAAGUGAUCCAUAUGGAUAAUCAUCAGAAACAAAACUGCUUGCCAGGAUCCUAUCAACCCCCAACCCCAAACAGAAGUGCUAUUCGAAUGGACAAAAGCAGGCCUUUUGAGGCAAUAUCGCCCAUUCAAGUAGAAAUUGAGCUAGUAUAAUUGUCUCGACUUCACAAGUAGUGCAUACAGCGUCACAGGAUAAUUAGGAACAAACAGAAGCAAUACUCGGUGCUAACCAAACAGGGUUCCAAGUGCUAUGUCAGAAAAUACAUAACGUCGUUUCCUCCAUAUGUUGGUUUUUGAGGUACCCUUUGUCCUGUACGUCAUGGAGAGCACUACCAGCUCAGCAUUAGUAAUAAUACCUCUUAUAAGCCUUAACUCUAGAGUGUGUAAAUCCUAACUGCAAACAAUAUAAAAGAAAAAAGGGAAUUAUCCUUUCCAAACAAUCAGAAACCAGAAUUUAAUAAAUCUUCUUUUCUCUAAUUUAAUGUAUGUUUUAAUUUUCCUUGUCAUUCCACUGGCUGGAACGCCCAAAUCAACUGGACAACAUACAAAUUUCAAUCUCUAAUUCAGGUACUUAUAAGUACCUAGAACAGACGAGCCAGCACCAUGUUUAGGCAGGAUUAAAGACAGGAUAUGUUUAAGGUACUUUUUCAUCCUUUAAAGAUUUAGCUCGUAAUCAUUUUUAACGUAUCAACAUGAAUAUUCCUUAAAUUAUAUAUAAAUGCAUUACCAUGAGAAGCUCUUUUGUUCUUUUUCUU